RNAcentral lists this ribosomal RNA (451 nucleotides) under uncultured bacterium. RNAcentral describes it as "partial 16S ribosomal RNA". It matches the Rfam family "Bacterial small subunit ribosomal RNA", at positions 355 to 797 of the family's 1533-position model. The record is from RNAcentral.
UAGGGAAUCUUCGGCAAUGGACGAAAGUCUGACCGAGCAACGCCGCGUGAGUGAAGAAGGUUUUCGGAUCGUAAAACUCUGUUGGUAGAGAAGAACGUUGGUGAGAGUGGAAAGCUCAUCAAGUGACGGUAACUACCCAGAAAGGGACGGCUAACUACGUGCCAGCAGCCGCGGUAAUACGUAGGUCCCGAGCGUUGUCCGGAUUUAUUGGGCGUAAAGCGAGCGCAGGUGGUUUAUUAAGUCUGGUGUAAAAGGCAGUGGCUCAACCAUUGUAUGCAUUGGAAACUGGUAGACUUGAGUGCAGGAGAGGAGAGUGGAAUUCCAUGUGUAGCGGUGAAAUGCGUAGAUAUAUGGAGGAACACCGGUGGCGAAAGCGGCUCUCUGGCCUGUAACUGACACUGAGGCUCGAAAGCGUGGGGAGCAAACAGGAUUAGAUAGCCCUGGUAGUCCA